ACAUGAAGCAUACAGCAAGUCUGACGGUACCUCCUGAGCAGGCUGGUGGCUAAGGAUCACAUGUUUCCAUAGCUUCUGUUGGCUUUAUAAGGGGACCCUAUCGGGCCCUCCUCUCCUGUGGUGCUUUGCCUCUUGGUGACAGCCGCACACCCGGAUGGAUGUGCAUGUUCAGUAAUUGCAUUAGCAACACACAAGGAACUCCCCCUCUCCUCCUCUCUCCUGGAUCCCAAGGAAUAUCGGCCUGAAAAACAAGUGUUAAAGAUAUCCAAAGGACAGCCACCCUCUGUUUGAUGCCAUGGAAGAGACCAGAGAGUCCAGCUGGCAGGGAAUGAGCUACUAGGCCAAGGCUGAAAAUUUCCUUGGUAUGGAAGAGUCAUGUGGCUCUCUAUGCAGAAAAUGCCACACAAGGUUGUCAAAAGUUGGGAGUACUGCAUGCAUCAGCACGCUGGAAUCGGGAUGGAAUUUCCACUUCCUCUAGGUGGCCAGAAGACUCUUUCCUUAAGCUCUUUAGAGUCCUGCAGAAUUCUUCACCUUUUCUCCUGCAGGGAGAAAAUGGAGUUGGCAACCCACAUGAGGCAGAGCUUACCUGAAC
Molecule: long non-coding RNA, 592 nt
Organism: Onychomys torridus (southern grasshopper mouse)
Lineage: Eukaryota; Metazoa; Chordata; Mammalia; Rodentia; Cricetidae
Exons: 4
Source: RefSeq, a predicted model, not a curated record